RNAcentral lists this ribosomal RNA (468 nucleotides) under uncultured bacterium. RNAcentral's name for it is "partial 16S ribosomal RNA". It matches the Rfam family "Bacterial small subunit ribosomal RNA", at positions 28 to 507 of the family's 1533-position model. The record is from RNAcentral.
GACGAACGCUGGCGGCGUGCUUAACACAUGCAAGUCGAACGGAAAGGCCCUGCUUUUGUUGGGUGCUCGAGUGGCGAACGGGUGAGUAACACGUGAGUAACCUGCCCUUGACUUUGGGAUAACUUCAGGAAACUGGGGCUAAUACCGGAUAGGAGCUCCUGCUGCAUGGUGUGGGUUGGAAAGUUUCGGCGGUUGGGGAUGGACUCGCGGCUUAUCAGCUUGUUGGUGGGGUAGUGGCUUACCAAGGCUUUGACGGGUAGCCGGCCUGAGAGGGUGACCGGCCACAUUGGGACUGAGAUACGGACCAGACUCCUACGGGAGGCAGCAGUGGGGAAUAUUGCACAAUGGGCGGAAGCCUGAUGCAGCAACGCCGCGUGCGGGAUGACGGCCUUCGGGUUGUAAACCGCUUUCGCCUGUGACGAAGCGUGAGUGACGGUAAUGGGUAAAGAAGCACCGGCUAACUACGUG